GACAGACGGUGCAAACGUUGUUCGGAAUCACUGGGCGUAAAGGGCGCGUAGGCGGGCAAGUAAGUCGGGCGUGAAAUCCCUAAGCUCAACCUAGGAACUGCACUCGAAACUGCAUGUCUUGAGUACCGGAGAGGAAAGCGGAAUACCUGGUGUAGAGGUGAAAUUCGUAGAUAUCAGGUGGAACACCAGUGGCGAAGGCGGCGUUCUGGACGGUAACUGACGCUGAGGCGCGAAAGCGUGGGGAGCAAACAGG
This 253-nucleotide ribosomal RNA is filed under the name uncultured bacterium. RNAcentral describes it as "partial 16S ribosomal RNA". It matches the Rfam family "Bacterial small subunit ribosomal RNA", at positions 524 to 776 of the family's 1533-position model. The record is from RNAcentral.